AUGUUCUCCGUUCAAAAUCUGCCCUCACAGAGCUGCUGCAACUCCACGUGCUUUCCCCAACAUACUUCGCCACCUUGUCUCCCUCGUCUUUCCCUUCUGAAGGAAGGAGCUCCUGAAACGGACUGUUUUGUCAAGAUGGGCUGCCCCACUAGAAUGCUGACCCACAGGGCCGGCCAAGGGACUCGCUGCUGGACCACUCCCACCGUUGCCCUUUACGCGUCCAUGGGAAACAUUUGCAGGCUAUUCCCCAGUGGCCCGGACAGGGCGUCUCAAAGGUAUCCAGUGAAUCUGCGACCACUGCCUACUGCAUUGGAGAUCUGGGACACGUGUCUUGUAUUGUCUUCCUGA
Molecule: long non-coding RNA, 348 nt
Filed under: Felis catus (domestic cat)
Lineage: Eukaryota; Metazoa; Chordata; Mammalia; Carnivora; Felidae
Description: lncRNA (ENSFCAG00000046676.2)
Source: RNAcentral